RNAcentral lists this ribosomal RNA (753 nucleotides) under uncultured Glomus. Its description in RNAcentral is "SSU rRNA". It matches the Rfam family "Eukaryotic small subunit ribosomal RNA", at positions 338 to 1092 of the family's 1831-position model. The record is from RNAcentral. Lineage: Eukaryota; Fungi; Glomeromycota; Glomeromycetes; Glomerales; Glomeraceae.
GGCCUACCAUGGUGGUAACGGGUAACGGGGUGUUAGGGCACGACACCGGAGAGGGAGCCUGAGAAACGGCUACCACAUCCAAGGAUGGCAGCAGGCGCGCAAAUUACCCAAUCCCGACACGGGGAGGUAGUGACAAUAAAUAACAAUACGGGGUUCUUUAGGAUCUCGUAAUUGGAAUGAGUACAAUUUAAAUCUCUUAACGAGGAACAAUUGGAGGGCAAGUCUGGUGCCAGCAGCCGCGGUAAUUCCAGCUCCAAUAGCGUAUAUUAAAGUUGUUGCAGUUAAAAAGCUCGUAGUUGAAUUUCGGGAUCAAUAUACCGGUCGUGCCUCAGGUAUGAACUGGUCUUAUUGGUUUCUCCCUUCUGACGAACCAUGAUGUCAUUAAUUUGAUGUCGUGGAGAAUCAGGACUGUUACUUUGAAAAAAUUAGAGUGUUUAAAGCAGGCUAACGCUUGAAUACAUUAGCAUGGAAUAAUGAAAUAGGACGUUCGACCCUAUUUUGUUGGUUUCUAGGAUCGACGUAAUGAUUAAUAGGGAUAGUUGGGGGCAUUAGUAUUCAAUUGUCAGAGGUGAAAUUCUUGGAUUUAUUGAAGACUAACUACUGCGAAAGCAUUUGCCAAGGAUGUUUUCAUUAAUCAAGAACGAAAGUUAGGGGAUCGAAGACGAUCAGAUACCGUCGUAGUCUUAACCAUAAACUAUGCCGACUAGGGAUCGGAUGAUGUCAAUUUUAUAAUGACUCAUUCGGCGCCUUACG